This 450-nucleotide ribosomal RNA is filed under the name uncultured bacterium. RNAcentral's name for it is "partial 16S ribosomal RNA". It matches the Rfam family "Bacterial small subunit ribosomal RNA", at positions 354 to 796 of the family's 1533-position model. The record is from RNAcentral.
GUGGGGAAUAUUGGACAAUGGGCGAAAGCCUGAUCCAGCCAUGCCGCGUGUGUGAAGAAGGUCUUCGGAUUGUAAAGCACUUUAAGUUGGGAGGAAGGGCAGUAAGUUAAUACCUUGCUGUUUUGACGUUACCGACAGAAUAAGCACCGGCUAACUUCGUGCCAGCAGCCGCGGUAAUACGAAGUGUGCAAGCGUUAAUCGGAAUUACUGGGCGUAAAGCGCGCGUAGGUGGUUUUGUAAGUUGGAGGUGAAAUCCCCGGGCUCAACCUGGGAACUGCCUCCAAAACUGCAUGACUAGAGUACGGUAGAGGGUAGUGGAAUUUCCUGUGUAGCGGUGAAAUGCGUAGAUAUAGGAAGGAACACCAGUGGCGAAGGCGACUACCUGGACUGAUACUGACACUGAGGUGCGAAAGCGUGGGGAGCAAACAGGAUUAGAAACCCCAGUAGUCC